GUCUAUGGCCAUACCACCCUGAACACGCCCGAUCUCGUCUGAUCUCGGAAGCUAAGCAGGGUCGGGCCUGGUUAGUACUUGGAUGGGAGACCACCUGGGAAUACCAGGUGCUGUAGGGU
Cavia porcellus (domestic guinea pig) is the source of this 119-nucleotide ribosomal RNA. The record is from Ensembl. Lineage: Eukaryota; Metazoa; Chordata; Mammalia; Rodentia; Caviidae.